UCCCUGAUAUCUCAGUUGGUAAAGAAUCCGCCUGCAAUGCAGAAGAUCCCGGUUCGACUCCUGGGUUGGGAA
Molecule: transfer RNA, 72 nt
Filed under: Ovis aries (sheep)
Lineage: Eukaryota; Metazoa; Chordata; Mammalia; Artiodactyla; Bovidae
Rfam family: tRNA
About the family: Transfer RNA (tRNA) molecules are approximately 80 nucleotides in length. Their secondary structure includes four short double-helical elements and three loops (D, anti-codon, and T loops).
Source: Rfam by way of RNAcentral